This 274-nucleotide ribosomal RNA is filed under the name uncultured bacterium. Its description in RNAcentral is "partial 16S ribosomal RNA". It matches the Rfam family "Bacterial small subunit ribosomal RNA", at positions 524 to 796 of the family's 1533-position model. The record is from RNAcentral.
UACGAAGGGUGCUAGCGUUGUUCGGAAUUACUGGGCGUAAAGGGCGUGUAGGCGGACAUAUCAGUCAGGGGGUGAAAUCCCGGGGCUCAACCCCGGAACUGCCUUUGAUACUGUAUGUCUAGAAUCUGUGGAGGGGAUAGUGAAUAUCAAGUGUAGAGGUGAAAUUCGUAGAUAUUUGAUGGAACACCAGUGGCGAAGGCGACUAUCUGGCACAGUAUUGACGCUGAGGCGCGAAAGCGUGGGGAGCAAACAGGAUUAGAUACCCGGGUAGUCC